Molecule: non-coding RNA, 75 nt
Organism: Streptomyces uncialis
Lineage: Bacteria; Bacillati; Actinomycetota; Actinomycetes; Kitasatosporales; Streptomycetaceae
Rfam family: ASpks TB sRNA
Source: Rfam
CUUCAGCGAUCCCAGCCACAACGGCCGCUCCGCGCCCCGCUCCCGGCCGUAGGUCGCCAGCAGUGCCUGGGCCUC